RNAcentral lists this unclassified non-coding RNA (3118 nucleotides) under Hevea brasiliensis (rubber tree). Lineage: Eukaryota; Viridiplantae; Streptophyta; Magnoliopsida; Malpighiales; Euphorbiaceae. The record is from RNAcentral.
CUUCACCACAAAGUUGCUCAAAUCGAGCAACUAUGUGCUUCCCAUAUGUGUAUUUCUUCAAAGCAUGAAGAUGAACUCUUACGCGGUUGAGCAAUAUUUCCCGCUGUUUAUCAUUACUAAUUUCAAGGAUCUUUUGGACCACAUAAUUUGCAAAUUGGUCCUUCAUCAUUGUCAGCAAACAGUCAUUUCCCUCUGACUCUGCAAGAAUCUCCUCGAUCAAAUAAUCUCUCUCAGUAGAAUCACCAUAUUCCAGACACUUCUCAACAACGUUUGAGGCAUACUUGUGUUGGCUUAACUGUACAACAUUUCCGGUCAACUUUCCGAUAAUUCGACUUCUUUCAUGUGGUCUUCCCCUCUCCAGAACAUGCUGGGUGACAUAGUUCCCAUACUGAUCUUGAGCAAGAGGAUAAGCAGAUUCCAAGAUUUCAUGCACUAUACUUUGACUUUGAGAGUUUUCUGAACAAUGUUCCAAUAUUCUCUGGAUUACACGACAACCAUAAGGAUGAGUAGACAAUAUAGCUACUUGGCCUUGGAAUGAGGAGAUAAUGAAGUUAAUUUUUUCAGGAGGUAUGCACUCAAUGCAUUUUUGGAUUACAUGGUUCCCAUUUUGAUCUCGUACGCACUUCAUUACAUGCCCAUUGAGUUCAUGGACAAGUUCUGUUUUCUGAUCAAGGUCAAUAACUUCCAGGGCCUUUUGAAUAACACGACAACCAUACAUUUGCAAACUCAAAGGCAGCAUCUGUCCUGCUAAUUGACAUGCCAGCAUCUUUCUUUGCUCAUGACUUCCAUGCUCAAAGAACUUUUGAAUGACAUAGUUCCCAAAAACAUCUGUAAUUAGCUUUGAAGCAUGUGGAAGGAUUUCUUUGAAAACAGAUGCCUUUUCUUCAAUACUACAAUUUUCCAAUUUCUGCUGUAUGAACCGACUUCCAUGCUGAUCAACACUGAAUUCAACAACACGACCUGCAAUAUCAGAGAGGUCAAUUCUUCGAGCAUUGCUUUGUUUCAGUUCUUCGAGAAAUGAAUGUCUUUUAGAGUCAUUCAAGCUACCUGGACCCCUUUGUGCAGUCCAUCCAGAAUACAAUCCAUUAUUUCUACCUGAACCAGGGGAAGGUUUAAUUUCAUUCCUUCUUCCAAUAGGGGAUCCUGGCAGUACAGGACUACCAAGAGGUGAGGCUGGAAACUGUUGCGUGAAUCCCAGGCCCGAUGGACUCCCAAAAUAAUUAUUGCCAGGAAUUAUCAUUUUUCCAGGACUUGGUAAGUUCAGACUUCCAAUUGGUGGACGAAGAAAAUUCUGUUCAGCAAUAUAAGAAGGGAGAUUUGACUCCUUCUGUGAGGCAUAAGCAUCAACUUCAAGCCCGAAUACACCAGGCGAAGGAAACCGCAUAUGUUGACUAGGAGAAGUGUGUGAAUCAUCAACAGGAUGAGGAUGAUGAAAGUACUGCAUAUGAAAAGGAUCUGGGAAAGGAUGCACCAUUAACCCAUGAUGCCCAAAAAACUUGGUUAAAUGAUGCAGAUCACCAACUUGUGGAAUGUUUUCCCUUGGUGCAACAUUUUGACCACUGAUGCUUCGUCCAGAACUAGUAUUAAUAUGCAUAGACGGAUAUCCAGCUAAAAAUGGAGAAAGAGAAGGCGAACUCAACGCAUAUCCCCCCAUAUUGUAUUGAGGGGCAUAUCCACCAGAUGGACUCAAGUUAGAAUAGUACGGAUUACCAGAAGCCAUAUAGGCUGCAGCUGUUGCAUAUAGAGGAGGUGUGAGGCCAGAACCUUGAGGAGCUGCUUGUACUUCAACUGAAGAGGACCAGCUCUGACCAUAACCUUUUGCUAGGCUACUCUGCAGUGUAUUAGUCCCAAGUGUAUUUGCUUGAACUUGUGGGCCAUUAACUUGGUAAGUCGUGCUUCUCUGGGAGUGGUACUGCUGCUGUUGUUUCUGUUCUACUGCAUUCCUGCUGUGAAAAUACUGUUCAUCCUCGUUCUUACUAGCCUCUGGAGCCUGAACGUUCUUUAAAAUACCUGAUGCUAUCUCAUCACCGACUAAGAGUUCAUUCACCAGAUGUGCAUCAUUACCUGGUAAUUCACCUUUCUGAGGGGAAUGAGAUUUCCCAAGACUGUCAACACAAGAUUCUUUUUCAAGUGUAAUGGCCAAAGGCUGAUUAGAGGCAGCUAUAUCAUGGUCACCUAAGACAUCCGCACAAGCAUCUGCACCGUGUUUAUUUGAAAUAUCAAGGGAGAGACCGUCCAAUGUAAGAGAUUGCAUAUCAGAAUCAGUUGGUUCCUCCGCAGCAACAUGACCAGAGGACCGAGUUUGAUUGUAAACUGGUGAUGGAGUGCGAGGGAAGUCCUCCUGUAUUAGGUCAACCAAACUUUUAUGUUGACCUGCAAAGGAGGCCAAGUGCUGUCCUGAAGCACUCUGUGGUAAAUUUUCAUCUUCCGGCUCCUCAUCAUGAGUUGAGAGAGAACUUCUGGUCACAUGCAAGGAUCCAUCUUUACUAUUCUCAGAAGAGUUUAACUGGCAGCUAUCACCCAGAUCUGCAAAAUGGUGUGCCAGGUGUCUAUUCUCCCUAGAAAUAAUAGGAGGAGGAAGCCUAGGAUUCAAGUUGACAUUAGAGUUGUAGUAUGCAAAAUACGAGGGAUCAGCACGCAUCUGCUCUUCAGACUGCCAGUUCUGCAUGGCAUUGUCUAAGCUUGCCAAACUCAACUUCCGGCCGGAGCUUUGAUCAUAGACAAGGUUACCGUAGGCUGAAAAUGAGCCCUCCAUGCUUGGAGGCGCACUACCACUACGAUUUGGAACCUUAUUUCUAUUAUGGCCAUGAAUCUUAUGACCUUUAAGAAGCAAUCCCAGUUCAUCAGCUGCCACUUCAUUCAUAGGUGAUGCGAAGUUGACCGUGUCCUUGGCAGAAACCCACUUUCCUUUUCUACUGUCUUGGAAUAUUCUCAUAGGGCUCUCCGUUGCCAUGUUGCUCAAGAGUAAGCAAGCAUAUAGAGUUUUGAAAUCAACAAAGCCAAAGGUGGAGACAUUUCAACCGAAGCUUUUCAUCGACAUCACAUGAAGAGAUUCUAGAAACAAAAGAUACUAAGCUGUGGUGACUACAUAUAAUCUGGGGCAACUGCUCUAAUGAUA